GUGAGGAAUUUUCCGCAAUGGGCGAAAGCCUGAUCCAGCAAUGCCGCGUGCAGGAUGAAGGCCCUCGGGUUGUAAACUGCUUUUGUACGGAACGAAAAGCCUGGGGCUAAUAUCCCCGGGUCAUGACGGUACCGUAAGAAUAAGCACCGGCUAACUACGUGCCAGCAGCCGCGGUAAUACGUAGGGUGCAAGCGUUAAUCGGAAUUACUGGGCGUAAAGCGUGCGCAGGCGGUUUUGUAAGACAGUGGUGAAAUCCCCGGGCUCAACCUGGGAACUGCCAUUGUGACUGCAAGGCUAGAGUGCGGCAGAGGGGGAUGGAAUUCCGCGUGUAGCAGUGAAAUGCGUAGAUAUGCGGAGGAACACCGAUGGCGAAGGCAAUCCCCUGGGCCUGCACUGACGCUCAUGCACGAAAGCGUGGGGAGCAAACAGGAUUAGAUACCCUUGUAGUCC
This 450-nucleotide ribosomal RNA is filed under the name uncultured bacterium. RNAcentral describes it as "partial 16S ribosomal RNA". It matches the Rfam family "Bacterial small subunit ribosomal RNA", at positions 354 to 796 of the family's 1533-position model. The record is from RNAcentral.